GAACGGAUCCGACGGUCAGGGACGAAGCCUAGGGGCACGAACCGGAUUAGAUACCCGGGUAGUCCUAGGUGUAAACGCUGUGGACUUGAUGUUGGGGACGCUCCGAGCGUUCUCAGUGUCGAAGCGAAGGUGAUAAGUCCACUGCCUGGGGAGUACGGUCGCAAGGCUGAAACUUAAAGGAAUUGGCGGGGGAGCACCGCAACCUGAGGAUUGUGCGGUUUAAUUGGAUUCAACGCCGGAAAACUCACCAUGACCGACGGACAUAUGAAAGCCAGUGUAACGAGCUUGCUGGAUUGUUCGAGAGGUAUUGCAUGGCCGCCGUCAGUUCGUACCGCAAGGCGUUCUGUUAAGUCAGAUAACGAACGAGACCCUCAUCCCUAUUUGCCAAGGUCUGUCCGCAGAUCACGGGACUAUAGGGAGACCGCUGGCGCGAAGUCAGAGGAAGGCGAGGGCAACGGUAGGUCAGUAUGAUCCGAAUGUCAUGGGCUACACGCGCAAUACAAAGGACGGGACAAUGGGCUGCUACUCCGAGAGGAAGAAGCUAUCCCGAAACCCGUUCGUAGUUCGGAUUGGGGGCUGUAACCCGCCCCCAUGAAGCUGGAUUAGGUAGUAAUCGCGUCUCAAAAAGGCGCGGUGAAUAUGCCCCUGCUCCUUGCACACACCGCCCGUCAAACCAUCUUAGUU
This 684-nucleotide ribosomal RNA is filed under the name metagenome. RNAcentral's name for it is "bacterial SSU rRNA". It matches the Rfam family "Archaeal small subunit ribosomal RNA", at positions 683 to 1368 of the family's 1478-position model. The record is from RNAcentral.